GAUUAACGCUAGCGGCAGGCAUAAUACAUGCAAGUUGAACGGCAGCACAGGUAGCAAUACUGGGUGGCGAGUGGCGCACGGGUGCGUAACACGUAUGCAACCUACCCUAUACAGGCGAAUAACCUUUAGAAAUGAGGGCUAAUACGCCGUAGUAUUACAGAUGGGCAUCUAUUUGUAAUUAAAGAUUUAUCGGUAUAGGAUGGGCAUGCGUCCCAUUAGUUAGUUGGUAAGGUAUCGGCUUACCAAGACGAUGAUGGGUAGUGGAUCUGAGAGGACUUACCCCCACACUGGUACUGAGACACGGACCAGACUCCUACGGGAGGCAGCAGUAAGGAAUAUUGGGCAAUGGCCGCGAGGCUGACCCAGCCAUGCCGCGUGCAGGAAGACGGCCUUAUGGGUUGUAAACUGCUUUUAUACGGGAAUAAUAGAGUGUACGCGUACAUUUAUGCAAGUAUCGUAUGAAUAAGCAUCGGCUAACUCCGUG
This 484-nucleotide ribosomal RNA is filed under the name uncultured bacterium. RNAcentral describes it as "partial 16S ribosomal RNA". It matches the Rfam family "Bacterial small subunit ribosomal RNA", at positions 28 to 507 of the family's 1533-position model. The record is from RNAcentral.